UUGUGGUUAAAAAGCUCGUAGUUGGAUCUCGGCGGACUGAGGGCGGUUUGCUUGCUAGUAUUACUGCCCUAUAGUCCGUAGUUUUGCCAGAGGUUUCGGGGUGCUCUUAAUCGAGUGUCCCGGGAUGCUGGCAGGUUUACUUUGAAAAAAUUAGAGUGCUCAAAGCAGGCUAUUACGCCUGAAUAUUCGUGCAUGGAAUAAUAGAAUAGGAAGUCGUUUCUAUUUUGUUGGUUUUCGGAAAUCGACUUAAUGAUUAAUAGGGACAGUCGGGGGCAUUUGUAUUCAAACGACAGAGGUGAAAUUCUUGGACCGUUUGAAGACAAACUACUGCGAAAGCAUUUGCCAAGAAUGUUUUCAUUAAUCAAGAACGAAAGUUAAAGGUUCGAAGGCGAUUAGAUACCGCCCUAGUUUUAACCAUAAACGAUGCCAGCUAGCGAUCUGCGGACGUUUUUUUUGUAGACUCCGCAGGAAGCUUCCGGGAAACCAAAGCAUUUGGGUUCCAGGGGAAGUAUGGUUGCAAAGCUGAAACUUAAAGGAAUUGACGGAAGGGCACCACCAGGAGUGGAGCCUGUGGCUUAAUUUGACUCAACACGGGAAAUCUCACCAGGCCCGGACACUGGAAGGAUUGACAGAUUGAUAGCUCUUUCU
RNAcentral lists this ribosomal RNA (648 nucleotides) under uncultured marine eukaryote. RNAcentral's name for it is "SSU rRNA". It matches the Rfam family "Eukaryotic small subunit ribosomal RNA", at positions 613 to 1262 of the family's 1831-position model. The record is from RNAcentral.